RNAcentral lists this non-coding RNA (99 nucleotides) under Streptomyces sp. NWU49. RNAcentral describes it as "ZMP/ZTP riboswitch aptamer (pfl RNA motif)". It matches the Rfam family "ZMP/ZTP riboswitch aptamer (pfl RNA motif)". Rfam says of the family: Previously known as pfl RNA. ZMP is also known as AICAR. The record is from Rfam by way of RNAcentral. Lineage: Bacteria; Bacillati; Actinomycetota; Actinomycetes; Kitasatosporales; Streptomycetaceae.
CCCGCGGGCCGUGACUGGCGCGCUGGGAUGGGACCGACCAUCGGGGAGCGGCCCCUGGGCACCGCCCAGCACCGAGUGCCGUGCGCCUGGGCCGUACCG